AGAGUUUGAUCCUGGCUCAGAACGAACGCUGGCGGCAGGCCUCAAACAUGCAAGUCUAGGGGGCGUAGCAAUACGUCACCGGCGGACGGGUGCGUAACACGUGGGAAUAUACCUUUCGGUACGGAACAACUGAGGGAAACUUCAGCUAAUACCGUAUACGUCCUAACGGAGAAAGAUUUAUCGCCGAAGGAUUAGCCCGCGUUCGAUUAGCUAGUUGGUGAGGUAAUGGCUCACCAAGGCAACGAUCGAUAGCUGUUCUGAGAGGAAGAUCAGCCACACUGGGACUGAGACACGGCCCAGACUCCUACGGGAGGCAGCAGUUGGGAAUCUUGGACAAUGGGGGAAACCCUGAUCCAGCCAUGCCGCGUGAGUGAUGAAGGCCUUCGGGUUGUAAAGCUCUUUUACCCGGGAAGAUAAUGACUGUACCGGGAGAAUAAGCUCCGGCUAACUUCGUGCCAGCAGCCGCGGUAAUACGAAGGGGGCUAGCGUUGUUCGGAAUUACUGGGCGUAAAGCGCGCGCAGGCGGUUUCUCAAGUCAGUGGUGAAAGCCCGGAGCUCAACUCCGGAACUGCCAUUGAAACUGUGAAACUUGAGGACGAGAGAGGUGAGUGGAAUUCCCAGUGUAGAGGUGAAAUUCGUAGAUAUUGGGAAGAACACCGGUGGCGAAGGCGGCUCACUGGCUCGUUUCUGACGCUCAGGCGCGACAGCGUGGGGAUCAAACAGGAUUAGAUACCCUAGUAGUCC
Molecule: ribosomal RNA, 744 nt
Filed under: uncultured bacterium
Lineage: Bacteria
Description: bacterial SSU rRNA
Rfam family: Bacterial small subunit ribosomal RNA
Source: RNAcentral